This 492-nucleotide ribosomal RNA is filed under the name uncultured bacterium. RNAcentral describes it as "partial 16S ribosomal RNA". It matches the Rfam family "Bacterial small subunit ribosomal RNA", at positions 29 to 507 of the family's 1533-position model. The record is from RNAcentral.
AGUGAACGCUGGCGGUAGGCCUAACACAUGCAAGUCGAACGGCAGCACAGUAAGAGCUUGCUCUUACGGGUGGCGAGUGGCGGACGGGUGAGGAAUACAUCGGAAUCUACUUUUUCGUGGGGGAUAACGUAGGGAAACUUACGCUAAUACCGCAUACGACCUACGGGGGAAAGCAGGGGAUCUUCGGACCUUGCGCGAUUGAAUGAGCCGAUGUCGGAUUAGCUAGUUGGCGGGGUAAGGGCCCACCAAGGCGACGAUCCGUAGCUGGUCUGAGAGGAUGAUCAGCCACACUGGAACUGAGACACGGUCCAGACUCCUACGGGAGGCAGCAGUGGGGAAUAUUGGACAAUGGGCGCAAGCCUGAUCCAGCCAUACCGCGUGGGUGAAGAAGGCCUUCGGGUUGUAAAGCCCUUUUGUUGGGAAAGAAAAGCAGCAGGUUAAUACCCCGCUGUUCUGACGGUACCCAAAGAAUAAGCACCGGCUAACUUCGUG